This 200-nucleotide unclassified non-coding RNA is filed under the name Thelephoraceae sp. RNAcentral describes it as "partial internal transcribed spacer 2". The record is from RNAcentral. Lineage: Eukaryota; Fungi; Basidiomycota; Agaricomycetes; Thelephorales; Thelephoraceae.
UUAAGUUCAGCGGGUAGUCCUACCUGAUUUGAGAUCAAACGUUCAAAAGUUGUCCUCGCUGCGGAGGGACAUCUAUGAGCCCCAGCGAACCUCCAUUGCUGAAGGUUACCUGGUGGGAAACCACAAGCGUAGAUAGUUAUCACACCCGUGAUGCCACCAAACACUGGCAAGCUGAUCCAUUUGAGAGGAGCCGACCAUAG